ACAGGCGCUCCCGCCCCUGUGCCGCGGCAGGGUGACGUCUCCGCAGCGCACUAGAGGUGCCGCUACUUCCGGGUCGGCCGAGCACACCUGGCGGCGUGGCGGACGCCUGAAGUGUGACAGUGGCGCGCGCCCCCGCCCCAGAACGGGGACUCGAGGGACUUUGCCCACCCCUGCAACAGCCCUCCCGCGCUGUCUCCCGGGCAGGGAGAAGGCUGGGCUCCCCCACCUGCCCCUGGCCGUCAGGUGGCUGUGGAGAAGCGGAGGCGCGGGCGCUCGGCCUUAACGUCCCGGGCUCUGGGGCCAUCCGUGACUCCCACACGCGGAGCACCUGCAGUUUGGGGAGGGAGGGAUCUGGGAGCGAUCGGCCAAAGCCUGGGGCUGCCGAGGAAAUGGCUCUUCGGAAUUAGGGAUCUGAGAGUGUGAGAUUUGACCUUUGUAGGCUGGUGGCGGCUGUGCAAUCUCUAGCUCCACCCACUCCCUCCAAAAGCUUUGUCCUCUGACAGCUCUGCGAAGGUUUUAGCUGAGUAUUUGUGAGCACGUAUUUCUUUUGCAGUAUUUUUAAAAAUCCUCUUGAUCUGAGGCAACUUCGCUGGCUUCCUCCCCAUUCCCUUGGGCAGGUUGAGAGUGUUGGUUCCUGGCCUGACCUCAGAAACUCAGAGAAGCACAGGAUGGGCAUAAACUACUUUAUCCAAAAGGCAGAACUUUGCAAACACAGUCGUAUCUGCUGUGUCUUUUUUGAUGUAAGUAGGAAUGAUGAGUAGGGUGAAGUCACAGGUAAACAACCCAAAACGAAUUUCCAUGCCCUCCCCACGGAUCCUAAAGCAGGGACUGGAGAUGGGGAGAGAGGCUAGAUGUACUUGGAACAAAAUUCACCUUGUAUUUAUUACCUGGGCGCUGGUGUUUUUUGAAAAAAGCAAACAAGAUAACCAUAUUAGUCUGAUGCUGAGACUAUGCCCUAUCUGUAAGAAUCCUUGGGCUGGGCGCGGUGGCUCACCCUUGUAAUCCCAACACUUGGAGGCCAAGGUGGGCGGAUCACCUGAGGUCAGGAGUUCGAGACCAGCAUGGCCAACAUGGUGAAACCCCGUCUCUACUAAACAUACAAAAAUUAGCUGGGUGUGGUGGUGGGCGCCUGUAAUCCCAGCUACUCAGGAGGCUGAGGCACGAGAAUCCCUUGAACCUAGGAGGCGGAGGUUGCAGCGAGCUGAGAUGUCGCCACUGCACUCCAGCCUGGGCGACAGAGCGAGACUCCGUCUCAAAAGAAAAGAAAAGAAAAGAAAAAAAGGCAGGGCACAGUGGCUCACGCCUGUAAUCCUAGCACUUUGGGAGGCCGAGGCAGGCAGAUCGCUUGAGGUCAGGAAUUCCAGACCAGCCUGGCCAACAUGGUGAAAACCUGUCUCUACUAAAAAUACAAAAAUUAGCUGGGUAUGGUGGCGCACGCCUGUAAUCCGAGCUACUAGGGAGGCUGAGACAGGAGAAUCGCUUGUACCUGGGAGGUGGAGGUUGCAAUGAGCUGAGAUCGUGCCAUUGCACUCCAGCAGCCUGGACAACAGAGCAAUACUUGGUCUAAAAAAAAAAAAAAGAAAGAAAUGCAACGUAGGUCUCUCACGAAAUUAGCCCAAAUCUUCAGCCAUCUUCUACAGGCUGUGAAACCAGGAGAGGAAUUGAGUCCAUCUUACCUUGACCUCCCAGGCAGGGAGCGGACCAGGUAAUUUUUGGGUGACAAUACAACUAUUCUGUUAAUGCACCUUUUUCUUGAGGUAAGUUCUAAUGUGAUCCGUUUUGGUUACAGCUUUCUAUAACAGAAUAUUUUAUUCUUUCAUCUUUAAUGUUUCUCUAGUUUUCUCUUUUAGGAUUUAGAGAUCAUUCAGUCUCAUCUCAAAUAUUUCAAUUUCCAUGUGGUUCUUUCAUAAACAUUUAUCCACAGUGAGCCUGCCCUGCAUUCUUUGGGUGUGGCUGACAGUUGCAGCCACCCUCAGGUCUGCGGGGGUGGGUGUGUUGCCCCUGAACUGCAAUAGCAGAAUUUCUCCCUAGCCUGGCAGGGGAGUGCAAUCGUGGACUUGCUUUUCCACCCGCUGGGGUUGCAUUUCAUAGGUGCCGAGUGCCUGGGGGGCCCAGGCCUUUUCACAUGAGGGUUUUCAGCCCAGAUGUCCCUCCUGCUCUAGGGGAACCCUUCACAUCAGUCAGGUGACUUGCUGGACUGGUAGAGCCUCUGCCAUCAGCCUCUGAUGCAAAACCUUUUCUCAGGUGUCUGUGCGGUCCAUGGAGACCCGAGUUCCCAGGUUUGGGAGGGAUGCCACUUUCCUUAGGAAGAACAGCAAUGUAUGUCGUCCUUCCCAUCCAUGCAGAUGGGACAGGGCUCUCAGGAAAUCUGCCAUUAGCAUCGCCCUAGAAGAUGCACAGGCAGAGGCAGCUGCUGGGCACAGGCACUUGGGGAAGACAGGAGCCAUGACGCCACGCCACCUGUUGGUACCCAAAGGAAGUGGCUCUUUUGGCUGCUUGGCACCAUUCUUAUGACCCUUCCAUUUUGUUUCUAGUCUCAGAAGGGGUGGAGAAAGUCAUCCUUCCUAAAUGGUGUUGACUCUCAGACAUCUGACCGUGCCAGGAGAAUGGCUGUGCAAGGCGGCAGCCCAGGCCCGGGCAGGUGGCGGCCAGGAGUUGGGACCACAGAGGGCACUAGCAAGAGCAGCAGCUGCUCCGAGAUGCUUUGGCACAAGUCAGGAUACGUAUUUUGUAGUUUUCUCUUGUUUUUUAUUUUUCUGAGGUGGAGUCUCACUCUGUCGCCCAGGCUGGAGUGCAGUGGUGCAAUCUCAGCUCACUGCAAGCUCCGCCUCCCGGGUUCAAGCGAUUAUCGUGUCUCGGCCUCCAGAGUAGCUGGGAUCACAGGUGCACGCCACCACACCCAGCUGAUUUUUGUAUUUUUAGUAGAGAUGGGGUUUCGCCAUGUUUGGUCUUGAACUCUUGGCCUCAGGUGAUCUGCCCCCCUCAGCCUCCCAGAGUGCAAGGAUUACAGGCGUGAGCCACCGCACCCCACCUCCCGGCCUUUUCUCUUGUUUCAUUUUGGUAAACUAAAUUAGUUUAAUACCUCUACCCCAUCGGUGGUUGGAAUUCCCCACCUCAAUCAUUUUGGGGGCUCUCUGCCUCCUUUGAAUAGGACAGAUCUCCAGGGGUUUACCCAGGCUCCGAAGAGCCACUCCAGGCAGCCGGCUGUUUGGGGAGGUGCACCCUGGUCUUCUAGUCUGCGGAUUCCCUGCAUCGCUCCCCUGGUACUGCUCUCAAGCUCAAGGGUCACCUCAGCCAGAUGUGCCCUAGGCUGGCAGAGGUCCUUCCCCUAAAUGCAGCUGGGCAGGAUGCCACCCUUUCUACAAUAAGUUCGGUCCCAGGGAUUCCCCCAACACACACACACAUACAUUCUCUCUUACUCACAUCCUCACACACACUCACACACCCCACCACACUCACACACUUUCAAAAUCCACCGACUCUCACGCUCACACUCGCCAGCCCUUUCCCUUGCUCUGUCACUUCCCUCCAAGUCCCCGCCCCACACAGCCUCCUGCAGUCCCAGCCCCCUUGGUGCCAGCCAUCUCUGGUGCCAGCCAUCUCCCCCAAAUAUCCACCCUUCUGGGCUCCUUUCUGCCCAGAGGGACCUGAAGUUUCCCUAGGAAGCACUUGCUAAAGGCCUCCAGUCUCCAACUCCUGGGGAAGAAGGAUCCAGGCCUCUGCCGCACAAAGCCUCCACUGUUCUCUUGGGGCUGGCACCCCUUCCUGUGGCCCUGUGGCACCAAACAAAUUGAUUCAUCCAGCGAAUAUUUCUUAUUUACUCUGUUCCACAUGGUGGUGAGUGAAUCAACCCUGGACUCUCCCCACAAAGGACUUAAGAACACGCAGGUCAUGAACAAAUGAACACUUUUGCAUAAUUUUUAUGACCAACGGUGACCAGGCCAAGAGCAGGAUGAGGUGAUGGAGAAUACCUUGGCCUGGGGCAUCGGAGGAAACUCUUGCGAGGAUGUGCUACCUCCGUUGAAAGUGGGAAGAUGAGAGACCGGCUGUAAGAGGAGCAAGGGAAGGAGGUUCUGGAAUGAGAGAACAGCACGAACAAAAUGCCCGAGACAGGAGCGAGCUUGGCACCUUCAAGAAAAUAAAGAGGAGAAUCACUGAACCUGGCACGUGGAGGUUGCAAUGAGCUGAGAUCGCGCCACUGCACUCCAGCCUGCGAGACAGAGCGAGACUCCAUCUCAAAAAAAAAAAAAAAAAAAAAAAGGAAAGAAAAGGAGGCCAUUGGGAUGGCUGAGGCUGGAAGGGUGGACCAGGUGCCCCACAGGCAAGAGGUCCCAACUAUAGAUGAAGCACGCAGGCUACAGACAGGUGAGUGGUGCCUCGGGUGAGAGGCAAGUUUGUCUCCAUAGGUCAUCCUGCUACACGGAAUUCUCCAGAAUCCCCUGCAAAGGUGUAGAUGGGCUGGGUGCAGUAGCUCAUGCCUCUAAUCCCAGCACUUUGGGAGGUCGAGUCGGGCGGAUCACCUUGAGGUCAGAAGUUCAAGACCAGCCUGACUAACAUGGUGAAACCCUGUCUCAACUAGAAUACAAAAAUUAGCUGGGCAUGGUGGCAUUUGCCUGUAGUCCCAUCUACUCAGGAGGCUGAGGCAGGAGAAUUGCUUGAACCCGGGAGGUGGAGGUUGCAGUGAGCCGAGAUCGCGCCACCGCACUCCAGCCUUGGUGACAGAGCGAGACUCUGUCUCAAAAAAAAAAAAAAAAAAAAAGGUGUAGAUGGCUUAUGCUUUGUGAUUUUCAAUGUGACUUGUUUUUAUUUUUUUCCAAAUCUAUAGGUCUUUUAUUGAAUCAUCUAAAUAUCACAGAUACUUAGGUCUGAGGAGUCAUCCAACAUCGUGUUUCUGUAGCUGGACAACUCUUAGAACCUCCUCAGCAGCCUGCGGAACUGUUCCUUUUUAGGAGACGUAGACAGCACCCCAACAUUUUCUGAUAUCCUUGUUUUUAACUAUUGCUGCUUGCUGAAUCAGAGCAGCUGAAUUUGAACAAGACUGAAACAAGCUCAAUGUCGCUUCCUUCAAAGAUUAAUUCGACAUUCUGGGCUUGAGAUACUGAAUAAGCAACACCUGGCCUCAUCCGAACCCUGCAGAUGGAUUUUCCACCCAAGAUGUUUCAGAUUUCAACGAGAGUCCCGUUCUCCUGGAUAACGACGUUUCUGGGGAAGUGAGCACCCACAGAGGUCAUCUUGUAAUGGAACCCAGGGCAACCCCUUUGACCAUGCUCCGUACACGACUAUGAACAGUCCCAACGGCAGCCGGCUCCCUUCAGUUUCCCCACCGUUUGUCAACCCGGAGCCUCUUUUCCUUUCCAAGGAGACUGAGUUCUACAUUGAUGUGAUUGAAGUCUCUCCUCAAGGCUGUGUGCAGUGGCUCACACCUGUAAUCCCAACACUUUGGGAGGCAGAGGCAGGCGGAUCACUUGAGGCCAGGAGUUUGAGAGCAGCCUGGCCAACAUGGUGAAACCAUGUCUCUACUAAAAAUACAAAAAUUAGCCAGGCGUGGUGGCACAUGCCUGUAGUCUCAGCUACUAGGGAGGCUGAGGCAGGAAAAUUGCUUGAACCCAGGAGGCGGAGGUUGCAGUGAGCCAAGAUCGCACCACUGCACUCCAGCCUGGGCGACAGGGCAAGACCCUGUCUCAAAAAAAUAAAAUAAAUAAAUAAAUAAAUAAAUAAAUAAAGUCCUUCCUCAGGGUUCCUCUCAGGCCCUUCCCAAUAACUGUGUGUUCCUUUAGAGUAAUGUUGACCUUUUCUGGAAUAUCCAU
Molecule: long non-coding RNA, 5807 nt
Filed under: Homo sapiens (human)
Lineage: Eukaryota; Metazoa; Chordata; Mammalia; Primates; Hominidae
Description: non-protein coding lnc-C1QTNF1-8:2
Source: RNAcentral